RNAcentral lists this long non-coding RNA (844 nucleotides) under Mus musculus (house mouse). Its description in RNAcentral is "predicted gene, 20036". The record is from RNAcentral. Lineage: Eukaryota; Metazoa; Chordata; Mammalia; Rodentia; Muridae.
GCCAGAUCCGUGACUUCCGCGUAACCUGCGGAACUUUAGGUGGAGACCGAAAAGGCAGUGGCGGCGGCGGUGGCUCUUCCCACCUGCGCAGCUGCUUUUGUUUGUAUAAAUCCUCUAAAGCUCCGUGUCUGCUGGAACAUGGUCCAAGAAUGAAAUCCUGUGAGAAUUCUGGGUGCUUAGGAGAAAACUCUAAGACAAGACCAGAAUCUCAUGACCUUAUAGGGGAAUUUUAAUCCAACACCAUGGGUGCUCUGACAAGGGAUCACAUCCAAAGAUCUUCUAAGCCCACAGGAACUGGGCAGAAUACAGAAAAACCCUGGAAUACAGUAUGGUCUGGCUGGAAUACAGACACACCCUUAGUACACACCUCUAAUCCCUAACAUGAAGAUAAGGCAAGUUUGUAGAAGGAAGCAGCCUUGUUUGAAAGUGAUGUCUAAUUAAGGGACAAUGUGACGAACCAGAGAAAGAUUUGACAGAAUGAGUCAGAGAUAGGAUACAUCCAACUCACAGAACAGCAGAGGAAAGAGGCUACGAGAGAGAGAGAGACAGAGACACAGAGACUGAGACAGGGAGACAGGUGUGUGUGGAGAUUUUACCAGGAUGGUUUUACAGAAACAGGUUAGACACAAGUGAUGACAGAAGGAGCCAGAGAAUGAGAAGGAGCCAGAAGAUUAGAACAUGUUGCCAAAGUGAAGUAUAAAGCCAAGCAGAGCAAUUCAGUCAGAAACCAAGAGAAGACUGAAUCAGUCAGCUUGGAAGAUUAGAUUGUACGCAGAGGCUUGAAGCUUCCUAGCCUAGGCCUAGGGAUAGAACAGGCAAACACUCUGGGCUCAGCCCAAGCCCU